Molecule: ribosomal RNA, 1039 nt
Filed under: human gut metagenome
Description: bacterial SSU rRNA
Rfam family: Bacterial small subunit ribosomal RNA
Source: RNAcentral
GAACGCUAGCGACAGGCUUAACACAUGCAAGUCGAGGGGCAUCAUGAGGUAGCAAUACCUUGAUGGCGACCGGCGCACGGGUGAGUAACGCGUAUGCAACCUGCCCGAUACCGGGGUAUAGCCCAUGGAAACGUGGAUUAACACCCCAUAGUACUUUUAUCCUGCCUGGGAUGGGAGUUAAAUGUUCAAGGUAUCGGAUGGGCAUGCGUCCUAUUAGUUAGUUGGCGGGGUAACAGCCCACCAAGACGAUGAUAGGUAGGGGUUCUGAGAGGAAGGUCCCCCACAUUGGAACUGAGACACGGUCCAAACUCCUACGGGAGGCAGCAGUGAGGAAUAUUGGUCAAUGGACGUAAGUCUGAACCAGCCAAGUCGCGUGAGGGAAGACUGCCCUAUGGGUUGUAAACCUCUUUUAUAAGGGAAGAAUAAGUUCUACGUGUAGAAUGAUGCCUGUACCUUAUGAAUAAGCAUCGGCUAACUCCGUGCCAGCAGCCGCGGUAAUACGGAGGAUGCGAGCGUUAUCCGGAUUUAUUGGGUUUAAAGGGUGCGUAGGCGGUUUAUUAAGUUAGUGGUUAAAUAUUUGAGCUAAACUCAAUUGUGCCAUUAAUACUGGUAAACUGGAGUACAGACGAGGUAGGCGGAAUAAGUUAAGUAGCGGUGAAAUGCAUAGAUAUAACUUAGAACUCCGAUAGCGAAGGCAGCUUACCAGACUGUAACUGACGCUGAUGCACGAGAGCGUGGGUAGCGAACAGGAUUAGAUACCCUGGUAGUCCACGCCGUAAACGAUGCUCACUGGUUCUGUGCGAUAUAUUGUACGGGAUUAAGCGAAAGUAUUAAGUGAGCCACCUGGGGAGUACGUCGGCAACGAUGAAACUCAAAGGAAUUGACGGGGGCCCGCACAAGCGGAGGAACAUGUGGUUUAAUUCGAUGAUACGCGAGGAACCUUACCUGGGUUUAAAUGGGAAAUGCCGUAUUUGGAAACAGAUAUUCUCUUCGGAGCGUUUUUCAAGGUGCUGCAUGGUUGUCGUCAGCUCGUGCCGUG